RNAcentral lists this ribosomal RNA (497 nucleotides) under uncultured bacterium. Its description in RNAcentral is "partial 16S ribosomal RNA". It matches the Rfam family "Bacterial small subunit ribosomal RNA", at positions 28 to 507 of the family's 1533-position model. The record is from RNAcentral.
GACGAACGCUGGCGGCGUGCCUAAUACAUGCAAGUUGAGCGCUGAAGGUUGGUACUUGUACCAACUGGAUGAGCAGCGAACGGGUGAGUAACGCGUGGGGAAUCUGCCUUUGAGCGGGGGACAACAUUUGGAAACGAAUGCUAAUACCGCAUAAAAACUUUAAACACAAGUUUUAAGUUUGAAAGAUGCAAUUGCAUCACUCAAAGAUGAUCCCGCGUUGUAUUAGCUAGUUGGUGAGGUAAAGGCUCACCAAGGCGAUGAUACAUAGCCGACCUGAGAGGGGGAUCGGCCACAAUGGGACUGAGACACGGCCCAAACUCCUACGGGAGGCAGCAGUAGGGAAUCUUCGGCAAUGGACGAAAGUCUGACCGAGCAACGCCGCGUGAGUGAAGAAGGUUUUCGGAUCGUAAAACUCUGUUGGUGGAGAAGAACGUUGGUGAGAGUGGAAAGCUCAUCAAGUGACGGUAACUACCCAGAAAGGGACGGCUAACUACGUG